This 460-nucleotide ribosomal RNA is filed under the name uncultured bacterium. RNAcentral's name for it is "partial 16S ribosomal RNA". It matches the Rfam family "Bacterial small subunit ribosomal RNA", at positions 338 to 795 of the family's 1533-position model. The record is from RNAcentral.
CCUACGGGAUGCAGCAGUGAGGAAUAUUUGUCACUGGGCGCGAGCCUGAACCAGCCAAGUAGCGUGCAGGAUGACUGCCCUACGGGUUGUAAACUUCUUUUAUAAAGGAGUAAAGUGAGGCACGUGUGCCUUUUUGUAUGUACUUUAUGACUAAGGAUCGGCUAACUCCGUGCCAGCAGCCGCGGUAAUACGGAGGAUCCGAGCGUUAUCCGGAUUUCUUGGUUUUAACGGGAGCGUAGAUGGUUUGUUAAGUCAGUUGUGAAAGUUUGCGGCUCAACCGUAAAAUUGCAAUUGAUACUGGCAGUCUUGAGUACAGUUGAGGUAGGCGGAAUUCGUGGUGUAGCGGGGAAAGGCUUAGAUAUCACGAAGAACUCCGAUUGCGAAGGCAGCUUACUAAACUGCCACUGACAUUGAUGCUCGAAAGUGUGGGUAUCAAACAGGAUUAGAUACCCUUGUAGUC